GACGAACGCUGGCGGCGUGCUUAACACAUGCAAGUCGAACGGAAAGGCCCUGCUUGCAGGGUACUCGAGUGGCGAACGGGUGAGUAACACGUGGGUGAUCUGCCCUGCACUUCGGGAUAAGCCUGGGAAACUGGGUCUAAUACCGGAUAGGAGCCAUUUUUAGUGUGAUGGUUGGAAAGUUUUUUCGGUGUAGGAUGAGCUCGCGGCCUAUCAGCUUGUUGGUGGGGUAAUGGCCUACCAAGGCGGCGACGGGUAGCCGGCCUGAGAGGGUGGACGGCCACAUUGGGACUGGGAUACAGCCCAGGCUCCUACGGGGGGGAGCAGUGGGGAAUAUUGCACAAUGGGCGCAAGCCUGAUGCAGCGACGCCGCGUGGGGGAUGACGGCCUUCGGGUUGGAAACUCCUUUCGCUAGGGACGAAGCUUUUUGUGACGGUACCUAGAGAAGAAGCACCGGCUAACUACGUG
RNAcentral lists this ribosomal RNA (465 nucleotides) under uncultured bacterium. Its description in RNAcentral is "partial 16S ribosomal RNA". It matches the Rfam family "Bacterial small subunit ribosomal RNA", at positions 28 to 507 of the family's 1533-position model. The record is from RNAcentral.